UUCCGGCUGCGCACUUCCGCUUCUGGUUCUCAGCGUCAACUUUCUGUCCCUGUCCUGCGUUCGAGGAGGUUGUUGGUUAGGCUGCUUCCAGGCUAAUUGAGGACCAGACAGAAUGAUCGAGGUUGUCUGUAACGACCGACUGGGGAAGAAGGUCCGCGUUAAGUGCAACACGGAUGACACCAUCGGGGACCUUAAGAAGCUGAUCGCAGCCCAAACUGGCACCCGCUGGAAUAAGAUUGUUUUGAAGAAAUGGUACACGAUUUUCAAGGACCACGUGUCUCUGGGGGACUAUGAAAUCCAUGAUGGGAUGAACCUGGAGCUUUAUUACCAAUAGAACAGAAUCCUUCCCUUUCUCUCCUGCUCACCCUCAUUGGUAUGGAUGCUUGUUUCUAAAAACACAUGUUAAUAAAAACUCAGAAACUGC
Condylura cristata (star-nosed mole) is the source of this 424-nucleotide long non-coding RNA. RefSeq lists it as uncharacterized. Lineage: Eukaryota; Metazoa; Chordata; Mammalia; Eulipotyphla; Talpidae. The record is from RefSeq and is a predicted model, not a curated record. The transcript is spliced from 5 exons.